CUAUCAUUUUACCCUGAUGGGCAAAGUAUUGCACAGAGGAAACAUCAGUCAAACCCCUUAAAUUAGAGAUCAAUGACUAAAAAAAUCCUUUCAUGCAAGUUUUAUUAGCCAGUUUGCAAUUACUGUUGACUUAUAUUUUUGUACAUGUAAUAUUAAAUGUCUGCAAGAAUAAAUAACUACGUAGUUUUAUUUUUCAUGUAAGAAAUUGUAGUACAUAUUGCAUAUGUUUAUAAUGUAACAGUUUUGUAAUGGUUUAUAUUUUUAUUACAAGUAUGAAAAGCAACCAUUUCUUUUACCAAGGCGUACAUGUGUAUUAAACUGCCUGCUAUAAGAUGCUUAUCUUGGCUUAACCUAUUUUUAUUUACCAAUAGGCAAUAGCAUCAAGUAUUCAAUGAGCUACUGUAUAUAGAGAAAUAUUAUUUUUACAAAAGUGUAGGAUGUUAUGUCCAUGUCUUUAUCAUAAACUCAGUAAAAUAUCAUCUAAAUCAAUAAGCUAAUGGGAAGUAUUAAGUCAGUUCAGAACAUAACAAAGAGGAUCAGAAUAACAAUUUCUUCAUUUUAGCUAGAGAUCCUCUCUGCAAAAAAAAAAAAAUGCUCCGACUUGCAAACCGAUUUUGCCCUCUAAAUGCAAAAUUACUUUUCCCUCUAAUUUCCAAAUUAAUAUGAUAAGUAUUAAGGCUUUAAAGUAAAAAUUGUUUUGUUUUUGUGUUUUCCUAGGAAGAGGAACUUGAUGAAUUCAGUAUUUUAAAAAUUUCAUGUAGGUUACAUGGAGGUGAUGCAAGUUAGAAACAACCAUAAUUGUGAAUAAUAUUGUAUGCCUUAUUAGUUAAUUAAGAUCAAUCCAUUUAGAGUUAUUUAAUGCUUUUAUCUAAAUUACGCACAUUUUAAAAAAUAAUCAAUUUUUUUCUUCUUUUGUGUAUCAGAGUAAAAUUUGUAAAAAUCAAAGACUGCUAAAUUUGGGUGUGCCUUGAAGGAGAAAACUUCAAAAUAAAGAUGUUUUUUUUUAAUGUUGUGAAUUAGCAUUGGUAAAGAAUGUUAAUUAUAAAUAGAAUUUCCUUGUCAUUGAAUAAAUAUUUACUCCCUCAUAUUUGACAAAGAAUAAAAGAAAAAAAAUCAUUUUUAGUUAUUUUAUACCUGUAUUAUGUAAGAUUGCCCAUGAUAUAGGAACUGGGUUUGUUAAACAAACUUUGUACAGUUAUCACUGAUAACUGUACGGAAAACAUAAUAGAGCAAGAAACAUAUGCACCUUUGUAAUAAGCUUGCACAGAUAUAUAUGUAUAAAGUUUAGCUACUGUGUAUAUAUAGGGAUUAGCAGAAAAUACAACCAAUGGUAGACUCCUGACCCUUAGAACAUCCACUUAAUGGUAUGUGUCCCACAUGAAAUCUAUCACCCCCAAAUAUAUAAAUGAAUGAUAUUCUUAUUUUGAACCAUAUGGGGUUUUUUAAGUCA
This is a long non-coding RNA of Saccostrea cuccullata (small rock oyster), 1450 nucleotides long. RefSeq lists it as uncharacterized. The record is from RefSeq and is a predicted model, not a curated record. The transcript is spliced from 2 exons. NCBI's taxonomy places the organism in Eukaryota, Metazoa, Mollusca, Bivalvia, Ostreida, Ostreidae.